GCAUGAAGUAACAAUUUCCCUCUUCUCCUGCAUAUCACAGAAAGGAAAUAAGACUUAGAAAAAGAAAGCCACGUUAGCUCCAUUUUUAGCUAUAUUAAAAGACACUUAAACCCAAGGACUCAAAUAACUGCAUGAAGAUGACUGAAGCAGUGAAGAUUUUCACGGAAGCUCUGCAAAGCAAGGAAGUUGUGCAAAGCCAAGCCACCAGGGUACAGAAAGCAAGAGCUGCAAGAUUGGAGGAAGACAGGGUGGAGAAGUGCAAUAACUGGGCAGAAAGGAGUUACCCAAAGAAUAUCCACUGCUUUCGAUUCCAUUCUUUCUCAGACAUAAAUUGCAGGCCUAGCAAGUCCUAAUAAGAACUAAAAUAAAAUAGUGGUGUAGCUUCUGACUGGUGGGUGUCCCCUGUUUUUUUCUUGAGUACAGCUCCUAGAAGAUAACAAGUUUCUCUCUAAAUUUGAAGUCUAUGCUCAUAUUUGGUCCAAGAGAAACUCCUUUGCUUAAUGAUUUAAACAAUCAUAAGGAUUCUAUAUCCACUUUCUCCUUCACAAGCUUGCCUGUGUGACUGAGGCAUCUUUCUUGAUUAUGGUGAA
Molecule: long non-coding RNA, 590 nt
Filed under: Pan troglodytes (chimpanzee)
Lineage: Eukaryota; Metazoa; Chordata; Mammalia; Primates; Hominidae
Description: long non-coding RNA NONPTRT010891
Source: RNAcentral